Molecule: unclassified non-coding RNA, 522 nt
Filed under: Hevea brasiliensis (rubber tree)
Lineage: Eukaryota; Viridiplantae; Streptophyta; Magnoliopsida; Malpighiales; Euphorbiaceae
Source: RNAcentral
GAAAACAGUAACCCUACUCCUAAAAGACAAGGAACCAGCUUUAUCUCUGCCUUGUAAGCUAGUGAAUGGUUUCAAACCGGAAGAUCCUCCUCCACAACAAUAAACUUUCUGUCACCAACGACCCAGAAACGAAAACAAGCCACUCUUUACUCUGAUCAAAUCACUGUGUUAUUCUGCAGCUCACGACACCCGUUUAUAGAAUCUCCAUGGGGCAGGUCCUCGGCAUAUUUCAGGGCAAGCAGUGGAGGCACAGGGAAAUAAGGUUGAUAACUGACAGGGUUUUUAAUCGCAUCAAGAAUCAAUCUGGAAGGGCUGAUCUGUCGUUUGAAGAUCUAUACAUUACUGUUCUACUUGUCUACAAGUAACCAUUUUUUAUUUCUUUCAGUGCUAAUGUUUGACAACGAUUUAGAGGGUGUGCUGAAAUUUCCAAUUUCUUGUUCGGAGAAUCUCUGAUACAUGUCAAGAAGUGAAAGCCCAAGAAUAUGUUUUAAUUGUGUAUCUUUUAUGUUGCAGUGAUAUCAA